GACGAACGCUGGCGGCGUGCUUAACACAUGCAAGUCGAGCGGUAAGGCCUCUUUUGGGGUACACGCGCGGCGAACGGGUGGGUAACACGUAUGUGACCUGCCCUCCCCUCUGUGUUAAGCCUGUGCAACUGAGUCUAAUUCCGGCUAUGUCCUUUCCUCUCCUGCGUUUUGGUGGUUAGUUUUUUCGGCGGGGGAUGGGCGCACGGCCUAUUAGCUUGUUGGUGGGUUGAUUGCCUACCAAGGCGACGACGGGUAGCCGGCCUGAGAGGGCGACCGCCCACACAGGGAGUGAGGCACGGCCCAGACUCCGACGGGAGGCAGCAGUGGGGAAGAUUGAGCAAUGGGCGGAAGACUGACGCAGCGACGGUGCGUGAGGGAUGACGGCCGGCGGGUAGUAGACCUCGUUCGAGACCGACGAAGUGGGACGGUAGGGGUAGAAGAAGCACCGGCCAACUACGUG
Molecule: ribosomal RNA, 460 nt
Filed under: uncultured bacterium
Lineage: Bacteria
Description: partial 16S ribosomal RNA
Rfam family: Bacterial small subunit ribosomal RNA
Source: RNAcentral